CAUCUUUGAGAAACCAUACUAAUACUAUAAGUAUUAUAAGGACCCACACUUCCCUCAAAACAC
Molecule: transfer RNA, 63 nt
Filed under: Phascolarctos cinereus (koala)
Lineage: Eukaryota; Metazoa; Chordata; Mammalia; Diprotodontia; Phascolarctidae
Description: tRNA (ENSPCIG00000034960.1)
Source: RNAcentral